Molecule: ribosomal RNA, 114 nt
Filed under: uncultured bacterium
Lineage: Bacteria
Description: partial 16S ribosomal RNA
Rfam family: Bacterial small subunit ribosomal RNA
Source: RNAcentral
CAAAUUCCGGUGAAUACGUUCCCGGGUCUUGUACACACCGCCCGUCAGACCAUGGAAGUCACCAACACCCGAAGUCCGAUUCGUCGGCCUAAGGUGGGGGGGAUGAUUGGGGUU